Molecule: non-coding RNA, 355 nt
Organism: Meleagris gallopavo (turkey)
Lineage: Eukaryota; Metazoa; Chordata; Aves; Galliformes; Phasianidae
Source: RefSeq, a predicted model, not a curated record
UCCACCCCUUCCCAGACCUCAUUUCAGGGUUGGCAGUGGAGGUGAGGGAACCUUAUUGGAGAUCCCUGUGUACCUGAGGCCUUCUGAAGACCAAGAAAACAGCCACAGAGCCAGUUCUGCGCCUAUGGAAACAUUCUUCACCAUUGCUUGCCUCAUGCUCAGAAGUACACACAUUUACUUGCAUAACUCACAGACUUGUCAUGAAUCAUGGUGAUACAGGAUGGUGCUGAGAUCCAAACGAAUGAUUACUAGAGAGAAGGGCUGUAAAAUCUAACUUCUCUCUGAAAAAUAAAAAAAAAAUAUUUCUGCUUUCCUAGUUAAAAAGUCUUAUCUCUUGCCCUCCAGAAAUGUCAGG